Molecule: ribosomal RNA, 782 nt
Filed under: uncultured eukaryote
Lineage: Eukaryota
Description: bacterial SSU rRNA
Rfam family: Eukaryotic small subunit ribosomal RNA
Source: RNAcentral
AGUCAUAUGCUUGUCACAAAGAUUAAGCCAUGCACGUCUAAGUACGAGCCGCCCCGGCGGCGAAACUGCGAACGGCUCAUUAAAUCGGUUACGACUCCACUGGUGCCAGACGUCCAGGUGGAUAACGUGCGGCAACUCCGGUGCUAAUACAUGCAACAAGGCUCCGACCCGGCGCGCGAGCGUCGGGGAAGGGCGCACUUAUUAGGCGAAAACCGACGUCCCGGGUCAGACCGGGGCUUCGGCGGACGACACCCGAGUAAUUGCCGCCGAUCGCACGGCCUCGCGCCGGCGACGCAUCUUUCGAGUUUCCGAUCUAUCACGCUGACGACGGCUGGUGCUACGCCAACCGUGGCGUUUACGGAUAACAGAGAAUCUGGGUUCGAUUCUGGAGAGGCCGCCUGAGAAACGGCGACCACUUCCAAGGAAGGCAGCAGGCACGCAAAUUACCCACUUCUGACACAGAGAGGUAGUGACGUGAAAUACCGAUGCGGCGCGCGCAAGCGACGUCGCAAUCGGAAUGAGAACAGUUCAAAACCUUUAACGAGGAUCCACUGGAGGGAAAGCCUGGUGCCAGCAGCCGCGGUAAUUCCAGCUCCAGCAGCGUAUAUUAUUAUUGCUGCGUUUAAAAAGCUCAUAGUUGGCGUAUCGACGCGUGACGGCGGUCGGCCUCGCGGCUCGCACUGCCCGAUCGCGCCAUGCGCGAACGUCGCCGACGGUUGCGCUUCGCCGCGUGACCUCGGCAGCGUCGCACGUUCACCUUGAGGAAACUGAACCGUUCAUGG